UACAGAGGGUGCGAGCGUUAAUCGGAAUUACUGGGCGUAAAGGGCGCGUAGGUUGAUGCGUAAGUCAAAUGUGAAAUACCUGGGCUUAACCGAGGGAUUGCAUGUGAAACUGCGCGACUAGAGUAUAGGAGAGGGUGUAGGAAUUUCUGGUGUAGCGGUGAAAUGCGUAGAGAUCAGAAGGAACCCUAGUGGCGAAGGCGAACACCUGGCUAGAUACUGACACUGAGGCGCGAAAGCGUGGGUAGCAAACAGG
This 253-nucleotide ribosomal RNA is filed under the name uncultured bacterium. RNAcentral's name for it is "partial 16S ribosomal RNA". It matches the Rfam family "Bacterial small subunit ribosomal RNA", at positions 524 to 776 of the family's 1533-position model. The record is from RNAcentral.